GUGAGAGACUGUGGGAUAAAAUGGUAAAGUUGGAGCAAAGAAUGAGAGGAGGAGGUGCAGGGUCUAUCGUCCAAUAAAAACGCUCGGCGCUAGUUUUGACCGUGUGUUUUUUCCUCACGCAAGCGUUUGUAUCACAUCGGCGUAUGGCGCCAAUUUGUAAAGGUCAUAAGUCGAGACAUACAUCGAGUCUGUCAAUUUGUCCGCCAGUAAAUUCUGCAGGGCCGUGCCACCUGGCCAUCGAGGCGCCCCCCUACCCGGCCACGCGGGCCAUACAUCGAGUCUGACACUUUUGCCCUCCAGUAAAUUCUGUUUAAAGUUUUGUUUUCACAUACGUCCCAAAUUACAGAUAAUUUUCUUACACAGGCACGAGUAGCAUCAUCAAGGCCGUACCACCUGGUCAUACAUCAAGUCUGACAAUUUCCCCGCCAGUAAAUUCUGUUUAUAGUUUUGUUUGUCAUACAUGACCGUGCAGAUAUGGGGUGACAGAGACAAUUAAAUUGUAUUACGUCGAGCGGGGGGCCUUUUCCUCCUCCUAGAGGCACAACGCCUUACCAAAGUUUGUACCAGCCAAAGAACCACAAGUUUCAUCGAGACCUUACCCGGUAAGUAUAUUAUUUCUUUUAUUCCUGUUAUAAAAAUGCUAUUCAAUUAAAAAUAACAUUCUAAUAAUAGGUAUUCUCUGUUUUUUCUAUGUACAAGAGAGAGAGACUGCGCUGACCGGUCAAGAGAAAAUCUACAAGAGACCUGAAUCAGCAGUGUUAUAAAGCACAUAGCCAACGCUAAUUAAUAAAGAAUUUAAGCAUAAUAGCCCAGACGCCCAUGGCCUAUAGCUGGUAGAAACGGAGCUAUCCUACGGCCUACAAGAUAAAAGCAUAUGGCACCAAAUUGGAAUCAGUAGUCUUUAAAAGAAUAAAUGGACUAGCAACUGUCUCUGGGGGAGCAGCCCCGGUUAGGUACUAUUAAGCAGCAUUUAGUGACAUGCAUCAAAACACAUUUUUUAAAACUUUGACAGAAUAAAGUCUUAGUUAUUUUAAUAAA
This is a long non-coding RNA of Brienomyrus brachyistius, 1038 nucleotides long. RefSeq lists it as uncharacterized. Lineage: Eukaryota; Metazoa; Chordata; Actinopteri; Osteoglossiformes; Mormyridae. The record is from RefSeq and is a predicted model, not a curated record. The transcript has 2 exons.